GGUUAAGGAUAGUUCGAAGCGCCUUUUAUGUUUCUUCUGUAAAGAACAGUCACCGGCGAACGAUUGGCUUUUACAUGUUUCUGCUCGAAUUUACCGUGAGUGUAUUCUCGUGUGCAACUCGGGUUGUUGGUCUGGGUUCAACGGAUCUCUUAGUGACGAGAUAUUCUCGCUAUUUUUGUACCGUGAGCGCAGGCCCUCACACAGCUCGCGAGGAAUGGAGCCGGCUGGAUUUGCAUUACAUUAGUCGGUGGCGGUCUCUCGAACACCCUACGACGACGGUGCGUCGAUCGCCGAUUUGCAAAUUACGGUCUCCACGUGUUUUCCAUGACGGCAUAUUGUGUUUUACUCCUGUGUUUUUGUUAAAUAGUCCGCUUUUGCAACGAUGCUCAAAGCUCAUAUCCGUGUUGUGACUGUGUUUACUCCUAUACUUUGAUAACGACUUAUUUGUCAGCUACGGCCGAACGUGCAUCUGAGGAAGGAAAAAUGCAGGAGUACGCAAAAAUUUGUUUGCUGGUCUCCGUCUUUGCCGCCGUGAGAGAAUUCCGACCUAUAGAACCAUUCUUCACUGCUUUCUUAACGAGUCCUGCUGCAAACUUAACAAAUCAAGAUGUAAGUUGAAUUCCAAGGAUUUUGCAACGGCUCGUAGCUGCAUGCUUUUUUACUCGAUUACUGACUUUUUUUAUCGAUGCGUUUUAAACUCUUAUUCAUUACCUGAUGUUUUUAGUGCAUUGUUGG
This 735-nucleotide long non-coding RNA is filed under the name Bemisia tabaci. RNAcentral describes it as "lncRNA ENSSWEETPG000681". The record is from RNAcentral. Lineage: Eukaryota; Metazoa; Arthropoda; Insecta; Hemiptera; Aleyrodidae.